This 762-nucleotide ribosomal RNA is filed under the name Triticum aestivum (bread wheat). RNAcentral's name for it is "partial small subunit ribosomal RNA". Lineage: Eukaryota; Viridiplantae; Streptophyta; Magnoliopsida; Poales; Poaceae. The record is from RNAcentral.
AUGCCGGGAGCCGUGAAGGUGUUCGGGUCGCCGACGUCGUCGGAGGUCGCCCGCGUCCUGGCGUGCCUCUUCGAGAAGGAUGUCGAGUUCCAGCUCAUCCGCGUCGACUCCUUCCGCGGCCCCAACCGCAUGCCCCAGUACCUCAAGCUGCAGCCGCACGGCGAGGCGCUCACCUUCGAGGACGGCAGCGUCACCCUCGUCGAGUCGAGGAAGAUCCUGAGGCACAUCGCCGACAAGUACAAGAGGCAGGGGAACCUGGACCUCAUCGGGACGGGGGCGCUGGAGCGCUCGUCAAUCGAGCAGUGGCUGCAGACGGAGGCGCAGAGCUUCGACGUGCCCAGCGCCGACAUGAUCUACAGCCUCGCCUACCUGCCGCGCACCAUGCCGCUCGACGGGAGGAAUGACGGCGGCGCCGGCAGGCAGCAGAAGCAGCAGCGGGACAUGAUGAUGAGCCCGUCCCACAUGCAGAAGGUGGAGGAGAUGAAGCAGCUGUUCGAGAAGAGCAGCAGGGAUCUGAGCAAGGUGCUGGACAUCUACGACCAGCGGCUUGAGGAGGCCGAGUACCUCGCCGGCGACAAGUUCACCCUUGCUGACCUCUCCCACAUGCCCAACGCCGACCGCCUCGCCUCCGACGAGCGCUCUGCCCGCCUCAUCCAGUCCCGCAGGAACGUCAGUCGCUGGUGGGCCGACGUCUCGAGCCGCGAGUCCUGGGUGUACGUCAAGAGCCUGCAGCGCCCGCCGUCCGCCGAGGCGCCAUUCUGA